UUAUUUACUCGUGGAUGAAGUAACAAAUGUUUUACCUGAAUACUCACAGAAGUAAAAAAGAAUAUUUAAUAAAAAUUUCUACUUAUUAGAAAACUUAUGUGUGGACGUAAUAAUAACCUGACAAAUAUUUAUUACGCUAAAGAGCUUCUGUCAUAUCUGAAGCAUCGUCAUUUAAAACACGUGUGGCAAGAAUUUAUAAAUCGCCCUGCUGAACAGCAGCUACUAGAAGAGGUGGCAACUUUAGCUGCACAAUGGUUUCAGCCGGACAAAAAUAUCUCUUAUUUGCAUAUAGAAAGCCACCUGGAUAAAAUCGCACAACAGGUAAUGGAGCAUCUUAAAAGUGUGAAUCCCAAUCAUCCGAUAUUCUUGGCAUUGCGUGAACAAUUCUUGUUUUGGAAAUGCCAUAAUAUCGAUGAAAAUCACUGGGACAACAGCGAUGGAAGACAAAUUCUAGAUAGUCUUUGCAAGAUAUUAUUUUUUGAACUAAACUUCCGUGCAGUUGGAUAUGGUGAGAUAGGAAGACGACGCACAGCACAUGCAUUCAUACAUUCCGUCUUAGAGAUGAAAGUUGGUAAAGCACUACCGCUGGCAAUCAUAUUCCAGAGUGUUGCAAGAAGACUUGGCAUACGCUGUGAUCUACUAUCUUUUCCUGUAAUUUUAGCUAAUAGCUGGGGCUACAGUUAUUGGUUAUUAAGAUGGAAACCAAAAUGGAAUCUAAAUCCUAAUGACGAAGAAUGCUUUUAUAUCAAUGUCUUACAUCGUGGAAUCAUUCUAGAUAAUAACUGGUCCAGAAUUUGUGAGGUUGCAAAAUGUACCAUACGUUCUGAUAGCUAUUGCAGAGUAAAUACCUUCGAGCUCCUACUAGAAAUAAGUUACUAUUAUGCUGUAUCAGUAGAUUGUUUUUUGGAGGCAACGAUUGUUAGAAGUUUUAAAGGCGUCGCAUACGUGACUGAUAAAAUUUGUUGGUUUUCGAGGCUUCUAGAUCUGAUAAAACGAGAGAAGGGAUACCUGACGACCUUCGAGUUUUAUAUAAGAGACAAGGACACUAUAUUGAAAUUUAUACAACGAGUGCAAAAGGUUCAAUCUAAUGCACUCAAUGAAAAGGGAUGGACCAAGUUAGCACGAGAUACAGUAACUGGGAUGGUAUCUGUGGUAUGUAAAAAAGACAAAUGCAGACUCAAACGAAAGAAGAGAAAGGCUGGAAUGAAAUUCGCAGUUGGAAUGAUCGUGAGAAUUCUCUCUUCGAAUAAAAUAGGCGUGAUAAUCAGAUGGGAGAAGUUAGAAUUGAGCUUGAGAACCAAGAAAUCAUCUUUAUACUACACAGUCCUUUGCGACUGCAAGAAGACACAUUGUGUCCCCGAAGAGAAUUUAAGAAGAGUAGUUAAGAGUAUACGGAUACCUAUAAACACCGACAUAACCGGCAUAUAUUUUUCUACAUUCAAAGCUAAGCUGGUUUAGAUAUCGGCCUAAUGAGGUCAGCAAACGGCUCAAUCGACCAUUCUACAAUUUAUUAUAAAAUAGGAGCAACACGUAAUUCGAAGAUGUUUUAAAACGCAGAAAGUUACAAUUGUAGAAUAACGAUGUUAAGGCGAUGAGAUAGCGGAGAAUCGUGAUUAAUUCGGUAUUACAUCGAUGCGGUUGGUCUUGCGGUUUGGUCAGUAUCGCAACGAUGCCGGACGUUUAUCGAUGUACACAGCUGGCAUUUUGACGGCGCACGACUGAAAUCGAAUGACUAGUUUAACGCCUCGAGCGUUAAUGCGCUUAAUGUAUGUAAUCAAUUGAUUGGUCGUCUUCCUUAAUCUUAAAUUUUAUUUUAAGCAAAUAACGAAUAUUUCUAGAAGAUUUCUAAUUGAAUAUUUCUAUAAGAAUUCUAAUAUAUCUAUAUAUGUAUAUAUAUACUAUCUAUUAUUGUUUUUGUAUGUACAAAAAAAUCAAAUUUGUAUUCGUUGAAAUUUUCCAUUAGAAAAUCCCGCAGGAGUUAACCGCUGUCAUCGACCGAUCACGAUGCAGCAUCACCUUCGACCUUGUCGAUCAUGGACAGACGAUCACGACGUAUAAACGGGCGGGGAAGGACACGGGGUGCUAAUAACGUUAGCAAAUGUUGCGCCGCUAUUUCCGAUGUCCCUGCAUGCAAUCUCAUAUCUGCAACGGCUCAAUAUAUCGAAACGUAUAUGUCGGACAUUGCUAACUGGACGCAAUCGUUCUGAAAGCGAGACGAUCAUAUGAUAGCGAUAUCUCGGAGCAGAUAACGCGUGUAACAUCGGGGUUUCUUUGCAAAUUAUCGCAUCAAUAAUCUCACGAUGAUUCGUCAAACGAUUCAUAAUUCAUAAUUUAUCCAAUCAACACAAAGAACUUCCUGCUAUAUUAAUAUUACUAAUAUUAAUAUUAAUAUAACUAAUACUAAUAUUACUAAAAAA
RNAcentral lists this unclassified non-coding RNA (2417 nucleotides) under Ooceraea biroi (clonal raider ant). RNAcentral describes it as "uncharacterized LOC105278883, transcript variant X1". Lineage: Eukaryota; Metazoa; Arthropoda; Insecta; Hymenoptera; Formicidae. The record is from RNAcentral.